UGGGCAACCUGCCCCCGACCCUGGGAUAACCCCGGGAAACCGGAGCUAAUACCGGAUACUCUCCUCCGACCACAUGGUCAGAAGAGGAAAGGUCCGCCGGUCGGGGAUGGGCCCGCGGCCUAUCAGCUUGUUGGUGGGGUAACGGCCUACCAAGGCAUCGACGGGUAGCUGGUCUGAGAGGACGACCAGCCACACUGGGACUGAGACACAGCCCAGACUCCUACGGGAGGCA
Molecule: ribosomal RNA, 232 nt
Filed under: uncultured bacterium
Lineage: Bacteria
Description: partial 16S ribosomal RNA
Rfam family: Bacterial small subunit ribosomal RNA
Source: RNAcentral